RNAcentral lists this ribosomal RNA (523 nucleotides) under uncultured bacterium. RNAcentral's name for it is "bacterial SSU rRNA". It matches the Rfam family "Bacterial small subunit ribosomal RNA", at positions 319 to 842 of the family's 1533-position model. The record is from RNAcentral.
CUGAGACACGGUCCAAACUCCUACGGAGGGCAGCAGUGAGGAAUAUUGGUCAAUGGGCGCUAGCCUGAACCAGCCAAGUAGCGUGAAGGAUGACUGCCCUAUGGGUUGUAAACUUCUUUUAUAUGGGAAUAAAGUGCAGUAUGUAUACUGCUUUGCAUGUACCUUAUGGAUAAGGAUCGGCUAACUCCGUGCCAGCAGCCGCGGUAAUACGGAGGAUCCGAACGUUAUCCGGAUUUAUUGGGUUUAAAGGGAGCGUAGGCGGGUUGUUAAGUCAGUUGUGAAAGUUUGCGGCUCAACCGUAAAAUUGCAGUUGAUACUGGCAUCCUUGAGUACAGUAGAGGUAGGCGGAAUUCGUGGUGUAGCGGUGAAAUGCUUAGAUAUCACGAAGAACUCCGAUUGCGAAGGCAGCCUGCUGGACUGUAACUGACGCUGAUGCUCGAAAGUGUGGGUAUCAAACAGGAUUAGAUACCCUGGUAGUCCACACAGUAAACGAUGAAUACUCGCUGUUUGCGAUAUACAGUAA